GACGAACGCUGGCGGCGUGCUUAACACAUGCAAGUCGAACGGGUCUGCCCUGUUUUUUGCGGGGUGGGUCAGUGGCGAACGGGUGAGUAACACGUGAGUAACCUGCCCCUCACUUCUGGAUAACCGCUUGAAAGGGUGGCUAAUACGGGGUGUUCUGGCUGUGCCGCAUGGUGUGGCUGGGAAAGAUUCACUUUUGUGGUGUUUUGGUGGGGGAUGGGCUCGCGGCCUAUCAGCUUGUUGGUGGGGUGAUGGCCUGCCAAGGCUUUGACGGGUAGCCGGCCUGAGAGGGUGGGCGGUCACACUGGGACUGAGAUACGGCCCAGACUCCGGCGGGAGGCAGCAGUGGGGGGUAGUGCACAAUGGGCGGAAGCCUGAUGCAGCGACGUCGCGGGAGGGAUGGAGGCCUUCGGGUUGUGAACCUCUUUCGCCGGUGAAGAAGGUCCUGCUCUUUGUGGUGGGGUUGACGGUAGCCGGGUUAUGAAGCGCCGGCUAACUACGUG
This 500-nucleotide ribosomal RNA is filed under the name uncultured bacterium. RNAcentral's name for it is "partial 16S ribosomal RNA". It matches the Rfam family "Bacterial small subunit ribosomal RNA", at positions 28 to 507 of the family's 1533-position model. The record is from RNAcentral.